RNAcentral lists this ribosomal RNA (830 nucleotides) under uncultured eukaryote. RNAcentral describes it as "bacterial SSU rRNA". It matches the Rfam family "Eukaryotic small subunit ribosomal RNA", at positions 370 to 1208 of the family's 1831-position model. The record is from RNAcentral.
CCCUUGGGUUCGAUUCCGGAGAGGGAGCCUUAGAAACGGCUACCACUUCUAAGGAAGGCAGCAGGCACGUAAAUUACCCAAUCCAGAUACUGGGAGGUAGUGACAAGAAAUAACAGAGUAAUCCACUUACGUGGAGUUAUUAUUGGAAUGAGAAGAAUUCAAAUCCCUUUUCGACUAUCGAUUGGAGGGCAAGUCUGGUGCCAGCAGCCGCGGUAAUUCCAGCUCCAAUAGCGUAUAUUGAAGUUGUUGCGGUUAGAAAGCUCGUAGUUGGACUUCUGACGGGAAAGAGCGGUCACGCCUUGGGUGUUGUAUUUGUUUCUAUCCUGUCAUCCUCGUGCGCGUAGUUUUGCUUUAUCGCUUUUCUACGGGCGCGACUUUUACUUUGAGGAAAUUAGAGUGUUCACGGCAGGCAAUCGCUUUGAAUAUAUUAGCAUGGGAUAAUAACAUAGGACCAUCGUUCUGUUUAUUGGUUUGCGGAACUUUGGUAAUGGUUAAUAGGGAUAAUUGGGGGCAUUUGUAUUAACACGUCAGAGGUGAAAUUCUUGGAUUGUGUUACGACAAACUACUGCGAAAGCAUUUGCCAAGGAUGUUUUCAUUGAUCAAGAACGAAAGUUAGGGGAUCGAAGACGAUUAGAUACCGUCGUAGUCUUAACCAUAAACUAUGCCGACUAGAGAUCUGUCGUAGUCUUUUACUGACUCGAUGGGCACCUUAUGAGAAAUUAAAGUCUUUGGGUUCCGGGGGGAGUAUGGUCGCAAGGCUGAAACUUAAAGGAAUUGACGGAAGGGCACCACCAGGAGUGGAGCCUGCGGCUUAAUUUGACUCAACACGG